GAUGAACGCUGGCGGCGUGCCUAAUACAUGCAAGUCGAGCGAACAGACUUGGUACUUGCUCCUCUUGCAUUAGCAGCGGACGGGUGAGUAACACGUGGAGAACCUACCUAUGAGACUGGGAUAACUUCGGGAAACCAGAGCUAAUACCGGAUAAUAUAUUUAACCACAUGGUUCAAGUUUGAAAGACGCUUUUGCUUUCACUUAUAAAGAUAUCGCGGCCGAAUUGCCUGUUUGUUAAGUUAACGGCUUACCAAGCGAACGAUGCGUAUCGGACUGGAGAGGUUGAUCGGCAACACGGGAAUUGAGAAAGGGUCAAGACCCUUACGGGAGGAAGCAGUAGGGAACUUUGAGCAAUGGGGGAAAUCUAGCCGGAGAAAGGCGGGGUGAGGAAUGAAGUUUUUAGGAUGGUAAAAUUUUGUUAUAAGGGAAAACGAAAUGUGUAAGUAAAUACGCACGUAUUGACGGUAACUAAUCAGAAAGCCACGGCUAACUACGUG
RNAcentral lists this ribosomal RNA (497 nucleotides) under uncultured bacterium. Its description in RNAcentral is "partial 16S ribosomal RNA". It matches the Rfam family "Bacterial small subunit ribosomal RNA", at positions 28 to 507 of the family's 1533-position model. The record is from RNAcentral.